GACGAACGCUGGCGGCGUGCCUAAUACAUGCAAGUUGAGCGCUGAAGGUUGGUACUUGUACCAACUGGAUGAGCAGCGAACGGGUGAGUAACGCGUGGGGAAUCUGCCUUUGAGCGGGGGACAACAUUUGGAAACGAAUGCUAAUACCGCAUAAAAACUUUAAACACAAGUUUUAAGUUUGAAAGAUGCAAUUGCAUCACUCAAAGAUGAUCCCGCGUUGUAUUAGCUAGUUGGUGAGGUAAAGGCUCACCAAGGCGAUGAUACAUAGCCGACCUGAGAGGGUGAUCGGCCACAUUGGGACUGAGACACGGCCCAAACUCCUACGGGAGGCAGCAGUAGGGAAUCUUCGGCAAUGGACGAAAGGCUGACCGAGCAACGCCGCAUGAGUGAAGAAGGUUUUCGGAUCGUAAAACUCUGUUGGUAGAGAAGAACGUUGGUGAGAGUGGAAAGCUCAUCAAGUGACGGUAACUACCCAGAAAGGGACGGCUAACUACGUG
This 497-nucleotide ribosomal RNA is filed under the name uncultured bacterium. Its description in RNAcentral is "partial 16S ribosomal RNA". It matches the Rfam family "Bacterial small subunit ribosomal RNA", at positions 28 to 507 of the family's 1533-position model. The record is from RNAcentral.